RNAcentral lists this transfer RNA (76 nucleotides) under Patescibacteria group bacterium. Its description in RNAcentral is "tRNA-Gly". It matches the Rfam family "tRNA". Rfam says of the family: Transfer RNA (tRNA) molecules are approximately 80 nucleotides in length. Their secondary structure includes four short double-helical elements and three loops (D, anti-codon, and T loops). RNAcentral also lists the same sequence under 1 other name. The record is from RNAcentral.
GCGGAUGUAGUUCAAUUGGUAGAACGCUUCCUUGCCAAGGAAGAGGUCGCGAGUUCGAGCCUCGUCAUCCGCUCCA